AACGCACAUUGCGCCCGCCAGCAUUCUGGCGGGCAUGCCUGUUCGAGCGUCACUUCAACCCUCGCGCCCAUCCGGGCAGCGGUGUUGGGGGCCGGCACUGACCCGCCGCCCCCGAAAUACAGUGGCGGCCCCGCUGCAGCCUCCCCUGCGUAGUAGCAACACCUCGCACCGGAGCUCGGCGGCGGCCACGCCGUAAAACCCCCGACCCCCCAUGAGUUUGACCUCGGAUCAGGUAGGACUACCCGCUGAACUUAA
Molecule: unclassified non-coding RNA, 255 nt
Filed under: uncultured fungus
Lineage: Eukaryota; Fungi
Description: partial contains 5.8S ribosomal RNA, internal transcribed spacer 2, and large subunit ribosomal RNA
Source: RNAcentral